CGGUAGGUAUUCAUCGUAUGGGAUUAGAGCAAAUAGAUCUGCUCUACCCAUUUCAAUGAAGGAAAUGUUGAGGAGACUGUUGUUUGGCCCCUAUUUUAUGUCCGGAUGAUCCAAACAAGUUUGGAAUCAUGCAGAGAGUGUUUGGAACCGACCAUAUAGUUAAUCUGAUUCAAGUUACUUGUAGCUAUACUCCAUUUCAUAACCCUAAUUUAAUGUUCAACUUGUUAUAUAUAUCCAUCAGUAGCCACAUCGCAACCAAGGGAAGAUAUAUAAGGUGGUGGAAUCAUUGCUAUUAUGGGGUCGACAUGGGAAGUAUAGAUCUAUCAUACUAAGUUGAUUUAACAAAGGCUGGUUCCAAACACUCUAUGCACGAUUGCGAAUUUGUGUCGAGGAAAAUUGAGAUGCACAACACUUCUGUUUAUUUUUGCAUUGGAGUAGGCCGGGAGGUUAUUAUUUUUGUCUUUUACAACAAAAAAGACACGAAAUGCGGGAAACACUGGAAAGAAGCUUGCAUUCAGUCCUCAGAUGUGCGAAAUCCCAGCGGAUGGGACGAGAAAGGUAAAUAAAGACCAGAAGGUAAAGAAAUACAAAUAGAUGAAGGCUUUUGAAUUCGAUUGUUGCAAUAGCCCAAUUAUUCAUGCUACAUCUUUGAUUGACUUCUGGAGACAUUUGGGUCGGCCUUCUACCAAGGCACCUCCUCUUCAAAUUGCUUGGCAAAUUGGUCCUACCUUCCUUCUCUUACAGGUUUGGCUGGAAAUAAAUCGUUGGAUUUUUCAGGGUCAUCAGCAUCUUAUUGUACAGGAGAACCUCAUGGGCAAGUGUUCUUCUGAUAUUAAUCUUGCCCCUGUUGAUAUUACGGUGAUUCAAUGUUUGCAGCUAGGGUAUAUUCUUGAGAAUUUUGUCUCCCUUUCUCGGACUUCUCUCCAUCAUUCCGCUCGUCGGAUUAAUAGGGAUGGUCACUGGACUCUACCUCUUUGCAAUGUUCUUAAGAUAAACAUUGAUGGUUCUUCUUGUGGGAAUCUUGGACCUGCGGGAAUUGGUGGUGUUGGAAGGGACAAUAAUGGUGCUAUGCAAUUCUUUUUUUCAAUGGAAACAGGUUUUGAGACGAACAAUCCGAUGGCAGCUCGUGCUCUCUUAUUUGCCUUACAACAAGCUUUGGAGCUACAAUGGAAUCAUGUUAUCUGUGAGUUGGAUUCGAUGAUUUUGGUCUCUCUGCUUGUGAAUCCGUCUUCUAAGAGCACUUCUUGGCAACUUUCAUCUCUAGUUGCCCAAAUUCGGCAGAUAUCUUCUUGCUUCAGUUCUAUCUCUUUUACUCAUAUUCCCUGUGAGUGGAAUAGGGUUUUACUCAUAUUCCCUGUGAGUGGAAUAGGGUUGCUGAUUUGCUUGCUAAAUGAGCAUCAAAUGCUCCUUGUGGUUGGCAUGUUAUUGAUUUGGAUUCUUUAUCAGUUGAUAAAGCUGCUCAGCUAUUUAGACUUCGUCGGUAUGAUGUAGAGUGAAGGUGUUCUUUCUAUGAUUCCUCUUGAUUUCUUGUGGAUCUCUUUGUUAUGCAGGGAAACCGGAUGAGAUUUCGCUGAAUGCACGAUAAAAGGGUCUUUUUGACAUCGUACAAGGAGCUGCAGAGUAGAGUCUCCGCCUCAAUACUGAGACAAUGCAGAGCUAGUCUGUCAAGAAGUUUUCUGUAAGUCAAAGUUUCAAACAACGGCAUUCAAUGUUUGGGUAUGUAAAUUAUACGAUCAUCUAAUUUUCCUAAAAUGGGCCAUCGUGGGCAUAACUAUAUUUUAUGUAUUGAUAAAUAAAAUACUAUAGAGUUCUUA
RNA transcript from Cryptomeria japonica (Japanese cedar), 1814 nucleotides. RefSeq lists it as uncharacterized. NCBI's taxonomy places the organism in Eukaryota, Viridiplantae, Streptophyta, Pinopsida, Cupressales, Cupressaceae. The transcript has 3 exons. The record is from RefSeq and is a predicted model, not a curated record.